Vitis vinifera (wine grape) is the source of this 357-nucleotide long non-coding RNA. RefSeq lists it as uncharacterized. The record is from RefSeq and is a predicted model, not a curated record. Lineage: Eukaryota; Viridiplantae; Streptophyta; Magnoliopsida; Vitales; Vitaceae. The transcript is spliced from 2 exons.
AGCCCAGUUAUUAUUAUUAUUUAAAUAAAAUAAAAUAAAAAGAGAAUAAAAUAACCCCCUCCUCUCAAUCCCUAUGUCCAAGCCUAGCUUUUUUCGCUCGGCCAUUAAUCUUGAUUGUCUGUGGUGAAGAUUAGAAAAGGCAAGAUGACGAGGAAGAAUCACCAACGUUAAGAUUCUGGUUGUAAUUCCCACCUUUUAUCAAGUGGAAUAGCUAAACCCUCAAGACCACCGAAGGAGCAUAAGAGAUCAAGGGGCGCUGGUGGGAGAAAGGAAAUGUAUGUGAAAUCAAUUUUGGCGCUGGUGGGAAAAAGGAAAUGUAUGUGAAAUCAAUUUUUAUAAUAUCCGCCUUCUAAUUGA